This 303-nucleotide ribosomal RNA is filed under the name uncultured Fusobacterium sp. Its description in RNAcentral is "bacterial SSU rRNA". It matches the Rfam family "Bacterial small subunit ribosomal RNA", at positions 1212 to 1513 of the family's 1533-position model. The record is from RNAcentral. Lineage: Bacteria; Fusobacteriati; Fusobacteriota; Fusobacteriia; Fusobacteriales; Fusobacteriaceae.
GGCUACACACGUGCUACAAUGGGUAGUACAGAGAGUCGCAAACCUGCGAGGGGGAGCUAAUCUCAGAAAACUAUUCUUAGUUCGGAUUGUACUCUGCAACUCGAGUACAUGAAGUUGGAAUCGCUAGUAAUCGCAAAUCAGCUAUGUUGCGGUGAAUACGUUCUCGGGUCUUGUACACACCGCCCGUCACACCACGAGAGUUGGUUGCACCUGAAGUAGCAGGCCUAACCGUAAGGAGGGAUGCUCCGAGGGUGUGAUUAGCGAUUGGGGUGAAGUCGUAACAAGGUAUCCGUACGGGAACGU